Molecule: ribosomal RNA, 426 nt
Filed under: uncultured Azovibrio sp.
Lineage: Bacteria; Pseudomonadati; Pseudomonadota; Betaproteobacteria; Rhodocyclales; Rhodocyclaceae
Description: bacterial SSU rRNA
Rfam family: Bacterial small subunit ribosomal RNA
Source: RNAcentral
GGGGAAUUUUGGACAAUGGGGGCAACCCUGAUCCAGCCAUGCCGCGUGAUUGAAGAAGGCCUUCGGGUUUUAAAGCUCUUUCGGCCGGGAAGAAUUCGUGCAGGCUAAUACCCGUUAUGGAUGACGUUACCGGAAUAAGAAGCACCGGCUAACUACGUGCAAGCAGCCGCGGUAAUACGUAGGGUGCGAGCGUUAAUCGGAAUUACUGGGCGUAAAGCGUGCGCAGGCGGUUUUGUAAGACAGUGGUGAAAUCCCCGGGCUCAACCUGGGAACUGCCAGUGUGACUGCAAGGCUGGAGUGCGGCAGAGGGGGAUGGAGUUCCGCGUGUAGCAGUGAAAUGCGUAGAGAUGUGGAGGAACACCAAUGGCGAAGGCAGCCCCCUGGGUCGAUACUGACGCUCAUGCACGAAAGCGUGGGGAGCAAACA